This 218-nucleotide ribosomal RNA is filed under the name Campeiostachys nutans. Its description in RNAcentral is "Elymus nutans partial small subunit ribosomal RNA". The stretch from base 46 to 218 matches the Rfam family "Eukaryotic small subunit ribosomal RNA", at positions 691 to 864 of the family's 1831-position model. Lineage: Eukaryota; Viridiplantae; Streptophyta; Magnoliopsida; Poales; Poaceae. The record is from RNAcentral.
GGGUUCACCCAUUGGUCAGGCUUAAUUGUCUGCACUGGUGAGAUGAAUCUCUACCUUCUGAGGAACUUUCAUGCCAUUUAUUUGGUGUGAUUGGAAAUCAGGACUGUUACCUUGAAAAAAUUAGAGUGUUUAAAGCAGGCUAACGUCUGAACACAUUAGCAUGGAAUAAUGAAAUAGGACGGACUGAUUCUAUUUCGUUGGUUUCUAGGAUCACCGUA